This is a long non-coding RNA of Sarcophilus harrisii (Tasmanian devil), 1907 nucleotides long. RefSeq lists it as uncharacterized. The record is from RefSeq and is a predicted model, not a curated record. The transcript has 2 exons. Lineage: Eukaryota; Metazoa; Chordata; Mammalia; Dasyuromorphia; Dasyuridae.
GAAUCAAUUAUGAAAGGAUGUCCUAUCUUCAUUAUUGUUUUUAUGUUUCCUCUUAAGUUUCAUAACCCCUAAGAAUAAAAAUACUAAUAUCUUUAAAGUGCCUAAAGUGCCUCAAGAAGUUGUCACUGAAAAGAAAAUGACCAUGACGAUCCCAAAAGAGCCAGAAGUUCCACCAGCUAAAGGUAUAUGUCACCAGUCAAGUAAUUUGGAAAGAUUUUUAUAUUGUCUCCUGUUACUGAAAAUAUUUUGAAGUCUCUGUUGAACAACAUAAUCUCUAAAUGUAAAAAUACUAAUAUCUUUCAAGUGCCUGAAGCUCCUAGAGAGAUUGUCCCUGAAAAGAAAGUGGCUGUUCCCAAAAAAACAGAGGUCACACCAUUUAAAGGUAUAUGUCACCAGUCAAGUAAUUAUGGGAGGGUGAGGGGGGGGAGAAUGUCCUAUCCUCUGCUCUCAAAAAUCAGAUUGAACUUUCUACUGACCCUUGUAGUUCCUAAUUUUAAGUUUACUAAUAUCUUUUAAGUGUCUGAACCUGCCAAAGAAACUGUCCCUGAAAAGAAAGUGUCUGUGCCUGUCCCCCAAAAGCCAGAAGCCCCACCUGCUAAAGUACCUGAAGUGCUCCAAGAAGUCAUCCAUGAAAAGAAAAUGUCUGUCGCUGUCCCCAAAAAGUCAGAAGUGCUGCCUGCUAAAGGUAUAUGUCAUUAGUCAAGUAACUUGGAAAGAUGAAAAAUGAAUUCUUGUUGUUGAAAAUGUUGAACAACAUAACCCUUAAGUGUAAAAAUACUAAUAUCUUUCAAAUGCCUUAAGGUCUUGGAGAAAUUGUCCCAGAAAAGAAAGUGCCUGUGGUUGUCUCCCAAAAAACAGAAGUGCCAUCAGCUAAAGGUAUAUGUCCCCAGUGAAAUAAUGCUGAAGAAGUAUUUCUCAUCUGCUCUAAAUCAGAAUGAUAUAUCAACUGACCUACAUAGUUCCUAAUUUUAAAAUUACUAAUAUCUUUCAAGUGCCUGAAUCUCCCAAAGUCGUCGCCCCUGAAAAGAAAGUGCCUGUGACUGUCCCCCAAAAGCCAGAAGCCCUACGUGCUAAAGGUAUAGGUCACUGCUGAAAUAAUUAUAAAAGAGGGGUGUCUUAUCUUCUGCUCUUGAAAAUAUUCUGAUGUAUAAAAAUACUAAUAUCUUGAAAGUGCUAGAAAUACCCCAAGAAGUUAUCAAUGAAAAUAAAAUGUCUGUGUCUGUCCCCAAAGUCAGAAGUUCCACCAGCUAAAGGUAUAAUCACUGCUGAACUAAUUCUGAAAGAGGGAUGUCUUGUCUUCUGUUUUUUAAACAAUUUUGAUUUUUCUAUUAAAUUUCAUAACCCUUAUGUAUAAAAAUACUAAUAUCUUUAAAAUGCCUGAGGUACUGCAAAUAAUUAUCCCUGAAAAGAAAAUGCUUAUGCUUGACCCCCAAGCCAGAACUCCUACCUACCUGUGGGAGGAAAUGGGGAAAAGCUUCUCUGGCCUAUAAAAAUUGCUUUUUGCUGUACAAAUGUGAUUUGUGUUUCUACUUAUUCUGGUAACUACAAAAUGUAAAAAAAAAAAAAAAAAAAAAUACUAAUAUCUUCAAAGUUCCAGAAACUCCCAAAAAGACUGUCCCUCAAAAGGAAAUAGUUGUGACUGUCCCUGAAAAGGAAAUAGCUGUGACUGUCCCUCCAAAACCAGAAGCCCCACCUGCUAAAGGUAUAUGUUGCUACUAAGAGGAAAAUAUUUGUCUUCUAUUAUCAAAAAUAUUUUGAUGUUUCUGUUGAAAAAUAUAACUUCUAAGUAUAAAAUUACUAAUAUCUUAAGCUUCUCUGGCCUACAAAAAUUGCUUUUUGCUGUAAAAAUGUGAUUUGUGUUUCUACUUAUUCUGGUAACUACAAAAUGUAAAAAAAAAAAAAAAAAA